UACGUAGGGUGCAAGCGUUGUCCGGAAUUAUUGGGCGUAAAGAGCUCGUAGGCGGUCUGUCGCGUCUGCUGUGAAAACUCAGGGCUUAACCCUGAGCUUGCAGUGGGUACGGGCAGACUAGAGUGCGGUAGGGGAGACUGGAAUUCCUGGUGUAGCGGUGAAAUGCGCAGAUAUCAGGAGGAACACCGGUGGCGAAGGCGGGUCUCUGGGCCGUAACUGACGCUGGAGGAGCGAAAGCAUGGGAGCGAACAGG
RNAcentral lists this ribosomal RNA (253 nucleotides) under uncultured bacterium. RNAcentral's name for it is "partial 16S ribosomal RNA". It matches the Rfam family "Bacterial small subunit ribosomal RNA", at positions 524 to 776 of the family's 1533-position model. The record is from RNAcentral.